UUUUUUGGUGAUUUUACUUUGUUUUCUAACAUUUUAAAAUGUUGAUGAUGUUGUUAUGAUUGUCAAACACAGUCUUGUCCAAAUUUUACUUUAAAAAAUAGCCUUUCUGAUUUAAAAGCAAUUAUUAUUGUUUUUUAUAAUAUCAAGUUUAAAGCUUUUCGUACAUCUUUUCCCCAUAUUUAUAAUAAUUGAGUUGCCUUUCUAUGUGUCUAAUGAAUCCAGUAAUUGACAUAUUCUUUUGUGUUGAUGACUUUGACAUUUAGACAUCAGAUGUUUAAAUUUGUUUAUCACUUAAAAACUUAACAUCUUUAGAAUAUAGCAAUGAAACAUUUUUUAGUAAUCUUUUGACAUAACGUUUUAUGCAAAAGCAUCAUGACUUUG
Molecule: long non-coding RNA, 381 nt
Filed under: Mytilus galloprovincialis (Mediterranean mussel)
Lineage: Eukaryota; Metazoa; Mollusca; Bivalvia; Mytilida; Mytilidae
Source: RNAcentral